This 399-nucleotide long non-coding RNA is filed under the name Rattus norvegicus (Norway rat). RNAcentral's name for it is "long non-coding RNA NONRATT006991". The record is from RNAcentral. Lineage: Eukaryota; Metazoa; Chordata; Mammalia; Rodentia; Muridae.
ACAGGACUGCUCCCGGCUGAUGGGUUAAGAGGUGGGCUACCACGCAGAAGCCAACCCGAGAGCGGAGGGAUCCUGGUCAUGGUCACCGCUGCUCCCCUACCUGUGAAGAGAAAGAGCACCGAGUGAGCCGCUGAAAACCAGAAAACCGAAAUGCUCUGCUUUUGGAGAACUUCUCACGUAGCAGUACUCUUGAUCUGGGGGGUCUUCGCGGCUGGUGAGUCUGAAUUUUCUCUAGGUGAAUGGCUAAGGGAGACCCGUUCUGUGCAGCAUUCAAGACUUGCCCCUUUUCGCUGGGCAACGCAAGUCAGUUUCUGUUGUAGAGACGAGCAUUCCUCCAGAUAUGGGGCUAUCUCAUCACCCCUACUUUCUGCUUUGUCUGAUUUAUUUUGCUUCGUGUUC